This 126-nucleotide non-coding RNA is filed under the name pig gut metagenome. RNAcentral's name for it is "FMN riboswitch (RFN element)". It matches the Rfam family "FMN riboswitch aptamer (RFN element)". From Rfam's summary of the family: The RFN element is a highly conserved domain that is found frequently in the 5'-untranslated regions of prokaryotic mRNAs that encode for flavin mononucleotide (FMN) biosynthesis and transport proteins. This element is a metabolite-dependent riboswitch that directly binds FMN in the absence of proteins. The record is from RNAcentral.
UUCUUCGGGGUCGGGUGAAAGUCCCAACCGGCGGUAAUAGUCCGCGACCUGUCGUAAGAAACCUCUUACGAUGGCUGAUUUGGUGGAAUUCCAAAACCGACAGUACAGUCUGGAUGAGAGAAGAUA